Molecule: ribosomal RNA, 253 nt
Filed under: uncultured bacterium
Lineage: Bacteria
Description: partial 16S ribosomal RNA
Rfam family: Bacterial small subunit ribosomal RNA
Source: RNAcentral
GACGUAGGAUGCAAGCGUUGUCCGGAAUUAUUGGGCGUAAAGAGUUCGUAGGCGGUUUGUUAAGUCUGGUGUUAAAGACGGGAGCUCAACUCCCGCAUGGCAUUGGAUACUGGCAGGCUAGAGUGCGGUAGAGGUCUCGGGAAUUCCAGGUGUAGCGGUGAAAUGCGUAGAUAUCUGGAGGAACACCGGUGGCGAAAGCGAGAGACUGGGCCGUAACUGACGCUGAGGAACGAAAGCCAGGGGAGCGAAAGGG